This 109-nucleotide ribosomal RNA is filed under the name Nannospalax galili (Upper Galilee mountains blind mole rat). The record is from RNAcentral. Lineage: Eukaryota; Metazoa; Chordata; Mammalia; Rodentia; Spalacidae.
GUCUACAGCCAUACCAUCCUGAAUGUGCUUGAUCUUGUUUGAUCUUCAAAGCUAAGCAGGUUCAGGUCUGGUUAAUACUUGGAUGGGAGAGUUUCAUUUGCUUCAUAUU